RNAcentral lists this ribosomal RNA (553 nucleotides) under Escherichia coli. RNAcentral's name for it is "partial 23S ribosomal RNA". It matches the Rfam family "Bacterial large subunit ribosomal RNA", at positions 612 to 1165 of the family's 2925-position model. The record is from RNAcentral. Lineage: Bacteria; Pseudomonadati; Pseudomonadota; Gammaproteobacteria; Enterobacterales; Enterobacteriaceae.
AUAAUGGGUCAGCGACUUAUAUUCUGUAGCAAGGUUAACCGAAUAGGGGAGCCGAAGGGAAACCGAGUCUUAACUGGGCGUUAAGUUGCAGGGUAUAGACCCGAAACCCGGUGAUCUAGCCAUGGGCAGGUUGAAGGUUGGGUAACACUAACUGGAGGACCGAACCGACUAAUGUUGAAAAAUUAGCGGAUGACUUGUGGCUGGGGGUGAAAGGCCAAUCAAACCGGGAGAUAGCUGGUUCUCCCCGAAAGCUAUUUAGGUAGCGCCUCGUGAAUUCAUCUCCGGGGGUAGAGCACUGUUUCGGCAAGGGGGUCAUCCCGACUUACCAACCCGAUGCAAACUGCGAAUACCGGAGAAUGUUAUCACGGGAGACACACGGCGGGUGCUAACGUCCGUCGUGAAGAGGGAAACAACCCAGACCGCCAGCUAAGGUCCCAAAGUCAUGGUUAAGUGGGAAACGAUGUGGGAAGGCCCAGACAGCCAGGAUGUUGGCUUAGAAGCAGCCAUCAUUUAAAGAAAGCGUAAUAGCUCACUGGUCGAGUCGGCCUGCGCG